Molecule: ribosomal RNA, 466 nt
Filed under: Lachnospiraceae bacterium canine oral taxon 024
Lineage: Bacteria; Bacillati; Bacillota; Clostridia; Lachnospirales; Lachnospiraceae
Description: bacterial SSU rRNA
Rfam family: Bacterial small subunit ribosomal RNA
Source: RNAcentral
GAGUUUGAUUCUGGCUCAGGAUGAACGCUGGCGGCGUGCCUAACACAUGCAAGUCGAACGAAGCAUAUAGAAGGAAGUUUUCGGAUGGAAUUUUAUAUGACUUAGUGGCGGACGGGUGACUUAACGCGUGGAUAAUCUGCCUUACACAGCGGGAUAACAAGUGGAAACAGUUGCUAAUACCGCAUAAGCACACAGUAUCGCAUGAUACAGGGUGAAAAGAUUUAUCGGUGUAAGAUGAGUCCGCGUCCCAUUAGCUAGUUGGUGAGGUAAAAGCUUACCAAGGCGACGAUGGGUAGCCGGCCUGAGAGGGUGAACGGCCACAUUGGGACUGAGACACGGCCCAGACUCCUACGGGAGGCAGCAGUGGGGGAUAUUGCACAAUGGGCGAAAGCCUGAUGCAGCGACGCCGCGUGAAGGAUGAAGUAUUUCGGUAUGUAAACUUCUAUCAGCAGGGAAGAAAAUGACG